RNAcentral lists this ribosomal RNA (1353 nucleotides) under metagenome. RNAcentral describes it as "bacterial LSU rRNA". It matches the Rfam family "Bacterial large subunit ribosomal RNA", at positions 1550 to 2925 of the family's 2925-position model. The record is from RNAcentral.
AUAAUCCGAAGACGUGAUGUGGAGCGAAAUAAAGUAGCAAAGCGUGUGAGCCAUGUGCCGAGAAAAGCUGCUAUUGUGUAAUGCGUGCCCGUACCGUAAACCGACACAGGUGGAUGAGGAGAGAAUCCUAAGGCCGACGGAAGAAGCAUUGUUAAGGAAUUCGGCAAAAUGACCCCGUAACUUCGGGAGAAGGGGUGCCUGCGAGAGCAGGCCGCAGAGAAUAGGCUCAAGCAACUGUUUAGCAAAAACACAGGUCUAUGCGAAACCGAAAGGUGAAGUAUAUGGGCUGACGCCUGCCCGGUGCUGGGAGGUUAAGAGGAGAGGUUAGCGUAAGCGAAGCUUUGAAUUUAAGCCCCAGUAAACGGCGGCCGUAACUAUAACGGUCCUAAGGUAGCGAAAUUCCUUGUCGGGUAAGUUCCGACCCGCACGAAAGGCGUAAUGAUUUGAGCACUGUCUCGACAAUGCAUCCGGUGAAAUUGAAGUACCAGUGAAGAUGCUGGUUACCCGCGCCAGGACGGAAAGACCCCAUGGAGCUUUACUCCAGUUUGAUACUGGGAUUCGGUACUGCAUGUACAGGAUAGGUGGGAGACGAAGAAGGAUGGACGCCAGUCUGUCCGGAGUCGCUGUUGGGAUACCACCCCUGUAGUACUGGGUUUCUAACCAGUUGCCAUGAACUGGCAAUGGGACAAUGUCAGGCGGGGAGUUUGACUGGGGCGGUCGCCUCCGAAAGGGUAUCGGAGGCGCUCAAAGGUUCCCUCAGAAUGGUUGGAAACCAUUUGAAGAGUGCAAAGGCAGAAGGGAGCUUGACUGCGACACCGACGGGUGGAGCAGGUACGAAAGUAGGACUUAGUGAUCCGGUGGUAUAAAGUGGGAUUGCCAUCGCUCAACGGAUAAAAGCUACCCUGGAUAACAGGCUUAUCACUCCCAAGAGUUCACACCGACGGAGUGGUUUGGCACCUCGAUGUCGGCUCAUCGCAUCCUGGGGCUGUAGCAGGUCCCAAGGGUUGGGCUGUUCGCCCAUUAAAGCGGUACGCGAGCUGGGUUCAGAACGUCGUGAGACAGUUCGGUCCCUAUCCGGCGCGGGCGGAGGAUACUUGAGAGGAGCUGUCCUUAGUACGAGAGGACCGGGAUGGACGGACCACUGGUGUAUCUGUUGCCGACCAACGGCAUGGCAGAGUAGCCAAGUCUGGAAGGGAUAAACGCUGAAGGCAUCUAAGCGUGAAGCCCCCCUCAAGAUGAGAUAUCCCUCCUUCGGGAGUAAGACCCCUUGAAGACUACAAGGUAGAUAGGGCAGAGGUGGAAGCAUGGCAACAUGUGGAGCUGACUGUUACUAAUAGGUCGAGGGCUUAGUAA